AGCGAACGCUGGCGGCAGGCCUAACACAUGCAAGUCGAGCGAACCUUUCGGGGUUAGUGGCGGACGGGUGAGUAACACGUGGGAACGUGCCUUUAGGUUCGGAAUAACUCAGGGAAACUUGUGCUAAUACCGAAUGUGCCCUUCGGGGGAAAGAUUUAUCGCCUUUAGAGCGGCCCGCGUCUGAUUAGCUAGUUGGUUGAGGUAAUGGCUCACCAAGGCGACGAUCAGUAGCUGGUCUGAGAGGAUGAUCAGCUACAUUGGGACUGAGACACGGCCCAAACUCCUACGGGAGGCAGCAGUGGGGAAUCUUGCGCAAUGGGCGAAAGCCUGACGCAGCCAUGCCGCGUGAAUGAUGAAGGUCUUAGGAUUGUAAAAUUCUUUCACCGGGGACGAUAAUGACGGUACCCGGAGAAGAAGCCCCGGCUAACUUCGUG
Molecule: ribosomal RNA, 434 nt
Filed under: uncultured bacterium
Lineage: Bacteria
Description: partial 16S ribosomal RNA
Rfam family: Bacterial small subunit ribosomal RNA
Source: RNAcentral